CCCUUAGAUGUCCGGGGCCGCACGCGCGCUACACUGAUACGUUCAACGAGUUUACAACCUUGAUCGAAGGGUCUGGGUAAUCUUUUGAAUGCGUAUCGUGCUAGGGAUAGACUAUUGCAAUUAUUAGUCUUGAACGAGGAAUUCCUAGUAAACGCAAGUCAUCAGCUUGCAUUGAUUACGUCCCUGCCCUUUGUACACACCGCCCGUCGCACCUACCGAUUGAAUGACUCGGUGAAAUAUCGGGACCGUUGUCUGGUUUGAUUCAUUUCGAACUAGAUAGUGGGAACUUUCUUUAACCUAUUUAUUUAGAGGAAGGUGAAGUCGUAACA
This 329-nucleotide ribosomal RNA is filed under the name uncultured eukaryote. RNAcentral describes it as "partial 18S ribosomal RNA". It matches the Rfam family "Eukaryotic small subunit ribosomal RNA", at positions 1470 to 1796 of the family's 1831-position model. The record is from RNAcentral.